UCAGUAAUGUUGAUUUUAGUACAAUCUUUCCCCAUUAUAUCAGUUUUUCAAACAACCAUAUGUCCCUAUCUUCAAUAUAUAUUCUUUUGUGCAUUCUUGUAUGCAUAUUUAUACCGUAGAUGGGAAUGCAUGUAGGCUCAUGCACACUAGAGAGAGAGAGAGAAAGAGAUACUCAUCUCUGAACCACGAUGUGUUGAUAGAAAGAAGCAAUGAACUGCAAUGAAAUAAUAAUGAGACAUUGUAAGUUGACCCCAUAUUGAUAAAUAAAUUAUGCCCACGUUUGGUGGGGAUUAAAAUGAAAUAGUAAUGAGACAUUGUAAGUUGAUCCCA
Molecule: long non-coding RNA, 330 nt
Filed under: Olea europaea (common olive)
Lineage: Eukaryota; Viridiplantae; Streptophyta; Magnoliopsida; Lamiales; Oleaceae
Description: long non-coding RNA (OEUR_LNC003350)
Source: RNAcentral